GUAGGGAAUAUUGGACAAUGGAGGAAACUCUGAUCCAGCCAUGCCGCGUGAGUGAUGAAGGCCUUCGGGUUGUAAAGCUCUUUUGGUGGGGAAGAUGAUGACGGUACCCACAGAAUAAGCACCGGCUAACUUCGUGCCAGCAGCCACGGUAAUACGAAGGGUGCUAGCGUUGUUCGGACUUACUGGGCGUAAAGGGCGUGUAGGCGGCGUUUCAAGACAGGGGUGAAAUCCCGGGGCUCAACCUCGGCAUUGCCUUUGUGACUGAAGUGCUUGAGUACGAGAGAGGUUAACGGAAUACCCAGUGUAGAGGUGAAAUUCGUAGAUAUUGGGUAGAACACCGGUGGCGAAGGCGGUUAACUGGCUCGGGACUGACGCUGAGGCGCGAAAGCGUGGGGAGCAAACAGGAUUAGAAACCCGUGUAGUCC
This 425-nucleotide ribosomal RNA is filed under the name uncultured bacterium. RNAcentral's name for it is "partial 16S ribosomal RNA". It matches the Rfam family "Bacterial small subunit ribosomal RNA", at positions 354 to 796 of the family's 1533-position model. The record is from RNAcentral.